CGGGGUGCAGCAGGCGCGAAAACUUUGCAAUGCGGGAAACCGUGACAAGGGAACUCUGAGUGCCCGUUAAAUCGGGCUGUCCAUCGGUUUAAAUAACCGGUGAAGAAAGGGCCGGGCAAGACCGGUGCCAGCCGCCGCGGUAAUACCGGCGGCUCGAGUGGUGGCCACUAUUACUGGGCUUAAAGCGUUCGUAGCUGGUUUGUUAAGUCUCUGGGGAAAUCUUCCGGCUUAACCGGAAGGCGUCUCAGGGAUACUGGCAGACUAGGGACCGGGAGAGGUGAGAGGUGCUCCAGGGGUAGGAGUGAAAUCCUGUAAUCCUUGGGGGACCACCUGUGGCGAAGGCGUCUCACCAGAACGGCUCCGACAGUGAGGGACGAAAGCUGGGGGAGCAAACCGGAUUAGAUACCCGGGUAGUCCCAGCUGUAAACGAUGCGCGUUAGGUGUAUCGGUGACCACGAGUCACCGAGGUGCCGAAGAGAAAUCGUGAAACGUGCCGCCUGGGAAGUACGGUCGCAAGGCUGAAACUUAAAGGAAUUGGCGGGGGAGCACAAGGGCGAAUCGCG
Molecule: ribosomal RNA, 563 nt
Filed under: uncultured archaeon
Lineage: Archaea
Description: bacterial SSU rRNA
Rfam family: Archaeal small subunit ribosomal RNA
Source: RNAcentral